UAUUUAUGAGUUCCAGCAGUUUUCUUGGGGAGGUUUGGGGACUUCUAAAUAUAGAAUCAUGUCAUCUACAAAGAAAGAUAGUUUUACCUCUUCUUUUCCCAUUAGUAUCUUUUUAAUUUCUUUCUUCUGUCUGAUUUCUCUGGCUAGAGUUUUCAGAACUAUGUCGAAUCAAAGUGGUGAAAGAGGACAUCUGUGUCCAGUUUUUAGAUCAACUACUUACAGUUUUUCUCUGUUUAGAAUGAUGUCAAUCUUGGGUUUCUCAUACAUGACUUUUACAAUGUUUGGGUGAGUUCUUUCUGUCCCUAGUUUUUCUAGUGUUUCGAGCAUGAAUGGGAUGCUGUAUUUUGCCAAAUGCUUUUUCUGCAUCUAUUGAGGUAAUCAGUCAUUCUUGUCUUUAAAUAUAUUUAUGUGAUGAAUUACGUUUAUUGAUUUCCGUUAUGUUGAACCAAACUUGUAUCCUUGGAAUGGACCCCACUUGAUCGUGGUGCACUAUUAUUUUAAUGUGUUUUCAUAUGCAGUUUGCCAAUGUUUUAUUAAGAAUUUUUGCAUCUACGUUCAUGAGGGAUAUUGGUCUGAAGUUUUCUUUCCUUGACGUGUCUCUGUCUGGUUUUGGUAUCAGGGUGAUAUUAGCCUCAAAGAAUGAGUGUAGAAUGGUUCCCUCCUUUUCCAUUUCUUGGAAUAAUUUGAGGAGGAUUGUUCGUCCUUCUAUGAGUGUCUGGUAAAACUCCGCUGAGAAUCCAUCUGGUCUUAGGCUUUUUUUUUGUUGGUAGGAUUUUGCUCUUUAAUUCUAUAUUUUCCUUUUUGACUUUUGUUGAGCUAAAGUUUUACUUACUAUUUUGUUUGAAAGACAUACAUCAUAUUUCUAUUUCAUUGGAUAUUCUUAACAAAUAUACAUAGUUAAACUUAAGUCUGAGACACACUGGGUAAGUAGUCUGUUCUUCUGAAUAAGAUUAAGAAUUUACUACAUUUUAACUUUCCUCCAAACUAUUCUAUUUCACAUGGCAUUGGCUGGUAUUUUAUUUCUAGCUUUCAUGAAAUAAAUAUUUUUUUCUUUUUAUUUAUUUUAUAACCAGUACUUAUUAAGAUGUUCUUUAAAUUUUUUAAAAAUAAUUAUAUAAUGAAAUUGACUGAUUAUUUUGAGGUAUAGUUCUAGGAAGUUUAAUUCAUGUGUAGAUUCCAGUCAUUCCCAUCCUAAUCAGGAUUCAGAACAAUGAAUGGUAUAACCUCAAUCAACCCCCUUGCGCUGUUCUUUGAUUGUCAGAGAACCACCUACCCUCAAUCCCUGACAACCAUUGACCAGUCCCAUCACCAAAGUUCAUCCUGUUGAGAAUGUCACAUAGAUAGAAUCAUUCAGCAUGUAGUCUUUGGAGACUGAUUCCCUUCACUCAGCAUAAUGCCUUUGAAAUUCAUUCUGUUUAUAACAUGUAUCCAUUGUUUCUCCCUUUUUAUGGCUGAAUAGUAUUCCAGUCUCUCCAUUUAUUCAUUCACCUGUUGAAAGACAAUUUGGUGUUUCCACGUUUGGAGACCAUGUACAGGGUGCUAUAAGUAUCUAUGCAGAGGUUUUUGUAAGGACAUGAGUCUUCGGUUCAUCUGCAUAAAUACCUAGAAGUGGAAUUGCUCAGUUGUUUGACAAGUAUAUCAUAUAUUACAUUUAAAUUAUAUUAUAUUUAAAUUUAUGAGAAAUGGCCAAACUGUUUCCCAGAGCAGCUCUAACCAUUGUACAUCUCCACCAGCAGCCUGGGACAGAAGCAGUUGCUCCUCACCUCAGUCCCACCUGGUCUUUUUAUUGGAGCCAUUCUAAUAGGUGUGCAGUUAUUCCUCCUUGUGGCUCUCGUUUGCUUUCCUCUGUCAACUGCACUGUGUCUUUGCAUGUGUUUAUCUUCUACCUCCUCUUCUGUUUGGCAAAGUGUCUGUGCAAGGCCAAUGCCAUUUCUUUUUUUUUUUUAAUUAUUUUUAUUUUUUAGUUUUUGGCGGACACAACAUCUUUGUUUGUAUGUGGUGCUGAGGAUCGAACCCGGGCCACACGCAUGCCAAGCGAGCGCGCUACCGCUUGAGCCACAUCCUCAGCCCCAGCAAUGCCAUUUCUUUAAUGAGGUUGUUAAAAAAUAAGCACUUCAUAGGAAAUUCUUGAGACUUACAGACAUGUUUUAUUACUUUCAUGGUUGCUUCUCAUUUCUUUUCUUCCUCCUAAAAUACAUCCUUGGUAGGACUUUCUGUGAAGAGCUAACAAUCUAACAAAAAGAACCUCCUUAGUCUGUAUUGAAACAUCAUCUUAGAAGCACCCCCUUAUUUCAGAAGUACGGCUUAGCUAGGUAUGGGAUUUGAAGUCCUCGCUCAUGUGCUCUAACACCAUAAACAUGUGAUCCAGUCCUUCAGUGGCAUUUUUGAAAAAUUGGCUGUAAACCUGAUGGUCAGCCUUUCACAGCUGAUUGGUCUUUCCUCUCUGGUGGUCUUUAGGAUUUUUCUCUUUAACCUACAGCUUUGCUCUAAUAUUUCUUAACAUGAAUUUGCCUUCAUUUAUUCUCUCGGAGACUUGGCAGACCUUUUCAGUUGAAGAUUCUUAUCUUAGUUUCUGGAGAUUUCCUAGGCAGCACCUUUGGAUCUCACCCGUCAUCUCUAUUCCUAGAACGCUUCUGCAGAGACCUCUGUGCACAUCUGCCUCCAUUCCUCCCAACUUACCUUUCAUGUUGUCCCUAUCUUCAGAUGUGUCUUCUGAGUUCCGCCUUCUAAAGGAUUUUCUCCACUCUACCUGCAAAGUCUUUAUUUUUUCAACUCUGUAAACCUUAUUAUUAAAUGUGUAUAAGCUGCUAUUUUUAUGGCCGUAUUUAUCAGUUCCAAGAUCCUGUAUUUUUUUUGUAUCUGGGUUUUUUUUUUGGGGGGGGCAGUUCAUAAGGGUCAUGCUUUUGUUUUGGAGAAUCAUUUCUUUUUCUGUACUUCUGAACAUUUCUGACAUACUGAUUUUAUAUCCUCCUCUUGUUUUUAUAUUGUUGGGCACCUGUGAAGAAGCUGGUGUACCAUGGAAGGGGGCCGCUCAGGCUGGGUGCAGGACAAGAUCACUGCACAAGAGGUCAACGACAUACAAAGAUCUUUCAGGAUUUUCUGCAUGUUUAUCAAAAUCAUGGAGAAGUGAAAUAGGAGUCGUGUUAGAGCAAGUGACAGUAAGCCAGGGGUGAAGAUCUUCAAGGACAAAAGGGAGGUGACUUGGAAGUAGGACUUGACGGUGACUUGAGGUGACUUAUGGCAGGGGAUCCAAGGCUGGAGUCUUUGGACACUGACUAUAGUGGAAGCAGCAAAGCAAGGGACACCUCCAGACCCAGUGGAAGGAGGGUUUCCCAAAUGACUGCAUGGGAAGAGAUCCUGGUCCAAGCCACGGUUGACCUGCUCCCCACGCAGGUACCAUUAGAUUAAAAUAGGCUUGAAAUCACCUGGCUCUGCUGACCGUUUGCUGGCCUGCCUCUGCUGUCUCCACGGAUCCCCAACAUGGAUUCUGUCUUUUUGCUUUUAGCUGAAACUUUUACCCUUAUUUCAUGGAGGAAAACAAUAACAACAACAACAAAAAAUAAAACCCGAGUGCUCACCCUGUGCAGCUGUUUCUGAAUCAUCUUUCUGCUUCCUCUGAAGAUGAUUGCACUGCCCUCUCACUUGACCAAGGCAGAAGUUUCCAAAGCAGAUCCACUGGGGACCACCAACAUUCCCCCCUGGCUAUCUCCUGCAAUAACAAUUUGCUGCUAUUCUGGAUCACUUUUCUAUAUCAAUGCUGCUAUUUCUUCCAUAUUAAAAAAUAUCCUGUUUGACCCUCCAUCCCCAUAGCUCCUGCUGCACCUUUCUGAUCCGAGUUAGAGAUGACAACAUCAGAGCUGCCCCUUCUGUUCCAGCUGAACUUUUUGAUGCGCUCUUGGGAGCCUGCGUCUUUUGGAUAACUGACGUGGCUUAAUUUGUAUUUUCUAUUAAGAUAUCAUUCUUACACUUUCUCUUAUUUCUUUAAAUGUAGAAGCUUCCCUAGAUCUUUGCACAUGCUUAAAGUCGAUGAUUUAAAGUGUUUGGUCUGGUAGGUCCAAAGUCUGCCUUCCUCGGGGACAUUUUCUAUUGAUUGAGUUGUUAUUGUUUGUGUUUUUUUUGAUUGUUUUUGUUUUGUUUUGUUUGUUCAACAAACGCCUCUGGAAGAAAACUGUUCUUGCUCUGAAAACAAUAAAAAACAAAACAAAACAAAAACCAACUACCACCAGCAUUUCCAGUGAUGUCUUCCAGGGAGCCACCAGACAGGUCAGAUCAUUACCGUUCUCUGGGAAUGGGACUUUGAUUCUGGAAAUUUUGUUAGUUUUUCCCUGACUUUCAUGAGGCAGAGAAUUCUCAGGGGCCAUUACUUCACAAUUCCCACUGACCUUGAACUCAUUUCUGGCAGGAUUUCAUCUCCACCUCUCUGCAAAAGCUACUCCUGACAAGGUCUUCAGUGACUUUCCCUUUUUCUUAAUCCCAAAUGGAUUGAAGAGAGUGUUUCUGAGAAGGCAUCAGGAAUGAAGUGUUGGGAAUUAAAUCAGAGCAGGUCAAGUUCCUUACCUUUGUGACAACGUCACAAUAUCCUGGUAUUGUAGAUAACUUAAAAGAAUAAAUAUAAAUAAAUUUAAAAAAGAAAAAAAAAAGAUUAACUAUAAGUCCUCAUCUUAUUUGAUCCAUUAGCAGGAAUCAACCCUCACCCUUGAAGCACUUCCAAGGUUGGCUUCUUACGUAUUUUGUUCCCCUGGUUUUCUUUUGACCAUGUUGGUCAUUCUUUUUCCAUCUCCUUUUUUAUUUAUUUCCUUUACCCAACAUAACUUCUAAAUGUUGGAAUGGCUCAUUCCCUGGCGAUCAUAUGCCAUCUCACGCCAACUAUAUGCUGAUACUACCAAACAAAAAUCUUCAUCCUGGAGCCCUACCCUGAACUCCAAUAUCAAGUGAGGAAUGACAUACUCAACAUUUCCACUUGUGUUUUGAGAGGCAUGUGAAAUUCUGAAAUAUCUAAAUGUGCGUAGGCUACAGACAAUCUCUCUCAUUUCAGUGUAGAUAUCAAUGGGGGCAGAAACUUUGAGUCAUCCUUGACUUGACUUCUCUCACUUAGCACAUCAAAUCCUGUAGCAAAUGUGUUGGCUCUACCUUCUGACUAUAACCCUAAAGCAUCCAAUUUUUAUCACCUGGACCAUAAUCCAAGCCUCCAUGAUCUCUUAGAUGAAUAGCCUCCUAACUGCUUCUGUCUUUGCUGUGCUAAAUUUAAUCUCACACAUCAUCUGGGAAGAUGCAUUUGAAAUCCAAUUUACAACUUUUCUCCUCUCCCACUAAUUUUCCCUACAAUUGUUCCCAUCUAUAGGAAAAGCCAACUCCCUCUCAUUGGCGGCCAACUCUGUAUGCAGUCUGGCCCUGUGCUCUCCUGUACCCUGCUCCCCAUGAGACUCCCUGUCCUUCAAUCACUCACCCUGUCCCUGUGGGCUAUGUUGGUCUUCCCACAGGAUGAACACUGUCCCCCACUGUCUGGGACUCACUUGUCUGACAGGCCAUGUGGCAUGCUGCUUUACCCCUUCAGGUCCUGUUCAAUGUCACCUCCUUAGUGGAUCCUUUCCUCACCACCUUAGUCCCAAACCUAACAAUCUUAUCCCCCUUUGCUGCUGUAUUUUCUCCUGAGCAUGCAUCACUGUCUGCAGAACCACAGUCUACUUAUUUUUAUUGAGUGUUAAUUCAACAGUCAACUCCCCCUAGGAGGAAUCUAAUGGUCUGAAGAGUCAUAAGAUCCAUGCAGAGAGAGCAGCAUCCUCCCUGAUAGCAUGGCAGCCUCAGAAAUGGAGACCUAUCUGGCCUCUUGAAGUGAUGCACAACCACCUUCCUUGGAGUCUGUAUCCCCAGCCAUGGGGUGACCAUCUCAAGUGGUCUUUUACUCUUGAGCCAGGGCUCUGACAUUCCACAGAUGUGCUCAGAGUUCCUUUGCUGGCUCACAUGGUAACUCCUUCUGUCCUGCUGCACAAAAAUGCAUGAUUUACACAUCUCUUAGGGGGUGUAGAUUAUACAAGUGAUGUAUUAUGCCAUGAAUUCCAACCCCGCUCCUGUCAGUAUUCAUCUGAGGGUCGGAUGCCAUAUCAUAAAAAUAAUAUGAAUGGUAACAACUAAAAUUUAUGGGGGUUGGUUGAAAAAUGAGAUUGAUAACUUGUUGAAAUAAUAAAACACAAAGUGUUUUUCUUCUUAAGGAUAAAAAGAAAUUUAGUAUUCACAUGGGAUGGAAACUAAAUCAUUCUCCGGUAAGUUCUCAUCUAACCCAUGUAGUGAAAUAAUGUAACAAAAUGAGUGCCAUCCUCAAAAUUGAUUAUACGCUGAACUUUAACAUUUCCUGACUUGCCAUAUAUAGUAAUUCUCACUGCCCUGUGGUAAAUCGAUGGCUUUUUAAUGAAGUGAUAGUCAAUAAAUUAGUAUCUGUACAGCACAUAGAAUGGUUCCUAGUAAAGUACCAUAUGUGUAAGCACUUAUGAAUUCUAAAACACAAAGCUAUGUGUUGCAUUAUGUAUUUUAUUUUUCCCAUGAAAAAAAUAGUGUAUAGUAACAUCACUCUGUAACUCUGUCAAUUCUUUUUGAGUUAUCUUACAACUUUUAAUUUUCAAACAAGUGAAUAUCAGUCUCCAUAACCCACUGAAGCCACAAGUUUCUGGAAUCCUUUCUUAUUCUUAUUAUAAAAGUUGAAAAGGUUCUAAGGCCAAAUGAUGAGAUGACCUCUAGGGGUUAAGCCCAAGCGUGACUGGGACAUUUCUUGAUCUGACCUCACAAAGAGCCGUUGUGAGGGAAUUUCAAACAGUGGGUAUAUGAGAGGGUGGCCGCAUCUGGGCUUCUGUCCACAAGUACAGGAAGCUCUUGGUGGUGACCUCUUGGACUACCAGAUAGUUAGUGCAUUUGGUGGUUGGUGGUUGUAGUCUGUUUUUCUUUCUUAUUUUAGUUGUAGAUGAACACAAUAACUUUAUUUUAUUUUCACAUUGUGCUGAGGAUCCAACCUAGGUCCUCACGCAUGCCAGGUGAGCACUCUACCACUGAGCAACAACUCCAGGCCCAGUUGUGGUCUUUGUUGUUGUUGUUGUGCUGGGAGUUGAACCCAGGGCCUGAUGCAUGCAACAAUUGUGGUCUUUUGGUUCUAUUUUUUCUUGUAUUGUUUUGUUUUACUGAUGUGGGUUUGUUUGUUUGUUUUUUGGUCUUGGUUUUUUGUUUGGGUUUGUUCUUUUUAUUUUAUUGUAUUCUUAGCUAGCAUCCUUGGUUGGUAUUCCUGCUUAGGAUGUGUAUUGAAAGUUGUCACAGCAGUAUAGGGCUGCAGGGUCCCAGUUUCUGCUAUGAGACCACCUUCAUGGACCACUAUGAGGUCCUGAGGGACAUCAGGCAGGGUGGCUAUGACCAGGUGAAACUAGCCCACUGUCUCCUCACAGGGACAAAAGUGGCAGUGGAAGUCCUGCUAAAGGUGGAGCUGAACAGUCUCUAAAGGCUAAAACAAGACAGAGACAUUACAAGAAAAAUUAUAAACACCCUAAUGAACUACAUGCAGUCUACUCUGAAUAUAUAAUAAUAAUUUUGUUCAUCAAAUUCUAUAAAUAUAACAAGGAUAACACAACUAGACCAAGGAGUGUUUGCCCCAGGAGUGUGAGUUUUGCCAGAGAACGUCAUUGGCUCUUCUGUUCCCGUAUCUGCAUGUGUCAGGGUGUCAUGACUAUGACAUACCAUACCCUCAUCUUCUCCUGAGGAUCCGUUACUUCCUUCCAAUUACCCACAGAUUCAUGGCUCAGAACAUCCAUUUGACUUAAUAAUUUAUUUUAAGGCAGUUUUUUGGUUUGCUCAGUUUUGUGGGUCAGGAUUUUGGGGGGGGGGAGAGCUUAACUGGGUAGUUUAUUUCUGAGCUGUACAGUGUCAACAAGGAUGGCUGGGGCCAAACCUUUCCCUCCCAGAUGGCCUCUUUACUCACAUGUACGGAUAGUUGUUGGCCCUUUCCUGCUCUUGACAAGGAGCUGCCUCUCUCUCCAAGGUGUCCUCACAUAGCUUGGGUUUUAGGAUGUCACACCCCUUACAUGCAGCUCCAAGGAGCAAGCCCACAGCCGCUGGUCUUCAAGGUUAAGCUGGGAACUAAAUGACCUCACACUUCUCACACUGUCUUGGUAAAGGCCACCAAAGACCUGCUCAGAUCUGAGGUGAAGGAAGAGGAUACCAUAUCCAAAGGAGAAACGGCAGCGAUUCUGUGCCAUCUUUAAAACACCAUGUACACCUUCCUUUCCAACUCAGACCUGGCAGAAUGGUUCCUGCAAAGAAGGGAGGUGAAAGAAGAAGAGUCCUUCUGCCAUUAACAAGGUGGUGACCCAAGAAUUCACAUCAAUGUUCACAAAUACAUACCUGGAGUGGCCUCACAACAAGUGUGACCUUGGAGACUUAGAGAGAUCUAGCAAUUUGCCAAAAAGGACAUGGGGACUCCAGCUGUGCACAUUGUUGCAGGGAGUGGGGGGGAUGUGGUUGAUUUUCUUGUGAUUUUCCUUCUGACAUUUUGCCAUGGUGACACUGAUUCUCUUUUGGUCUGGUGUUCUCCGGUUCCCAAUUCAUGGGUUGCUUCUUAUUCAAAUAAACUCUUUAAUAUUGCACUCUGCCUCCAAUUUUUCUUUUACAGUGGCUAAAGUGAAAGUUUGUGUGCUAUGUAUAUUUUCACACCAUAAUCAAAUUGGAAAAGAGAACUACGGCGCCCAAUCUUAUCACAUCUCAUAGGUGUGUUCAGGACGCGAGCCUUGGACUGGUUCACUCAGAAUCUAGCGGCAGCACGAUGGCCUCUUUGAGCUUGAAAGUACAGAAUGGAGAUGGAUUUUGUCAGCCAAUCAACUCUCUCAGGAUUACAGACCUAUAUGAACAGGUGUAGCUCACAAGGGAGGGCUGAGGGUGUGGGAGGCAGAGAAGUUAGGGAAAUCUCACACAUGGCAGACACCAGUCCUAGCAUUAGUGCACCGGAGGUGAUGCUGAACACAGCUGGUCCCCUGCCCUCCACGCCUCUCACGUUCCACCUUUCUACCAUUAAACUGGUUUGCUUUGGUUUUUGUUUUCCUGAUCUCCUCCCCUACACACUGCAGUCAGACAAGACUGGCCCACUUUGAGUCUUAACUUGUGAAGGAAAGUCUGCUGGAGAGAGAGGCAUUCUGGAACAUCUUUUGGUUGAUGUCAUGCCUGGAUGUGAAGCCUUUUCCUAAACGUGUUACCUUGCUUGCCAGAAUGCCACACUGCCAAAGCAAAAGGAGAGAAAGGUCCCCAGUCUGUGGUGACAGCUGAGCCAGGGAUCAGCCAGACCCAGAGCCUAACUGACUCCCAAUGUCAGGUAUCUUCAUCAUUUAACUAGUUGAGCUAUGAUGCCUGCUUCUUGUAGCUGAAGGUAUUCUAAUGGAUAUUAUUAUGGUUUGGAUCUGGAAAGUUCCCCCACACUUCCAUGCACUGAAGGUUUGGUUCCCAGCCUUUGGGCUAUUGGGAGGUGGUAGAACCUUUAGAAGAGAAGGCAGAGUGGGAGGAAGUUUAGUCAUUGGGGUUGUGCCCUUGAAGUGGAUAUUGUAGUAUCCAUUCCCUUCCUCUCUCUCUCUAUUGCUUCCUGAUCACCAUAAAGUAAACAGCUUUGUUCCACCAUGGGCUCCUGCCAGGAGGUGCUGCCUUGCCACAGGUCAAAAAGCAAUAAAGCAACACUGGGGAUAUAGCUCAGUUGGUAGAGGGCUUGCCUUGCAUGUUUAAGGCCCUGGGUUCAAUCCUCAGCACCACCAAAUAAAUAAAUAAAUAAACAAAGCAACACAGCCAACCAACUGUGGAUCAAAAUUGUGACCCAAAUUAAAUUAUUUCUUCUCCUUUUAAGUUGAUUCUCUCAGGUGUUUUGACCAGUGACAGAAGGCAGACUAAGACACCUUAUUUUUACAGAAAAC
This 9923-nucleotide long non-coding RNA is filed under the name Marmota monax (woodchuck). Lineage: Eukaryota; Metazoa; Chordata; Mammalia; Rodentia; Sciuridae. The record is from RNAcentral.